UGCUGGCUAACAUUGUGUCUAGGGCAGAUCCUUUGGUUUCCAAUUCUCCAUGCAGUAUUUCUGUCUCUGGCAUUUUUCCAGCUGUAAUGUCCAGUAGAGUGUGUGCACACUUGGGGCUCGGAAGCUUCUGCUGCCUUCCUUUCUGAGAGGAGAGGGUGCCCACAGGCACACCAGUGGGACUUUGCCUGCGGAGCGUGUGAUCAAGUCAUGGGCCAGGUCCUCUGACUUCUGCUGACCUGUAGACCCUGAUCUCUGGCCUUGGAGGACACCUGCCCAGGGAUUCUCACUGCCCUGGGUGUUGUCCUGCACUUCCAAGCUCUAGGUCCUCCGGAGAAGAGGGCAUUGUCCCUGUAGGGCAAGAGUCAGGAGCCUCAGGUCUUCCUCUUCAGGGGCCAAAGCAGAGCCUGGGGAGUCAUGGUGAAUGCAAAGAGGAGUUUCCCUGAGGUUACCAGAGGGCUGGGGGCCUAGCGACCAGGAAAGGGUGGUGCAGGCGGCGGUACAGGGCAGGGGGUGCCCUGAGAGCCCAGGGUGCUUGGGUUAAUCAUCACUGUGGCUCAGAUAAGGCCCUGCCAACUGGGAGCAGAGUCACUGUGACCAGAGGGGUUUGUGUGGCUGAAGAGGCAGGCAGAACAGUGUAUCCACAGCACGGGACCAUGCCAGCCACAGAACAGUUUCAACAUGUCAUUGAGACCCCGGAGCCUGGCCAGUGGGAGUUGUCUGGGUAUGAGGAAGCUGUGCCAAUCACAGAGAAGACAAAUCCACUGACCCGGGACCUAGACAAAGCAGAUGCUGAGAACAUUGUUCAACUGCUGGGGCAAUGUGAUGCUGAGAUCUUCCAGGAGGAGGGCCAAGCCCUGCCCACAUACCAGAGACGCUACAGUGAAUCUAUUCUGACCACCAUGGUACAAGUGGCCGGGAAAGUUCAGGAAGUGCUGAAGGAGCCAGAUGGGGGGCUGGCUGUAUUGAGUGGAGGGGGCACCUGUGGCCGGAUGGCAUUCCUCAUGUCGGUGAGCACCCUGGUCCCCGGUUUUCUUCCCUCUCCACUUCUUGAGGUGACCCUCAGGACCAUAAAGAUCACCAUAACUGAGCUCCCAGGUGCCCCCUCACUAGACCUGGACUCCAAGCCUGGCUCUCUCUCUCUUCCAGAAGCUAGGCGUCACCACGAAGUCCCAUUUCUUCUGAG
RNAcentral lists this long non-coding RNA (1183 nucleotides) under Aotus nancymaae (Ma's night monkey). RNAcentral describes it as "lncRNA (ENSANAG00000038804.1)". The record is from RNAcentral. Lineage: Eukaryota; Metazoa; Chordata; Mammalia; Primates; Aotidae.